UACGUAGGGGGCGAGCGUUGUCCGGAGUUACUGGGCGUAAAGGGCGUGCAGGCGGUGCGGUAAGUUUAGCGUGACAGUCUCCGGCUUAACUGGAGAAGGCCGCUGAAAACUGCUGGACUUGAGGGCCACAGAGGGACAUGGAACUCCAGGUGUAGUGGUGAAAUGCGUAGAUAUCUGGAAGAACACCAAAGGCGAAGGCAGUGUCCUGGGUGGUCGCUGACGCUGAGAGGCGAAAGCCAGGGGAGCGAACGGG
Molecule: ribosomal RNA, 253 nt
Filed under: uncultured bacterium
Lineage: Bacteria
Description: partial 16S ribosomal RNA
Rfam family: Bacterial small subunit ribosomal RNA
Source: RNAcentral